RNAcentral lists this ribosomal RNA (33 nucleotides) under Candida albicans. Its description in RNAcentral is "partial 18S ribosomal RNA". The record is from RNAcentral. Lineage: Eukaryota; Fungi; Ascomycota; Pichiomycetes; Serinales; Debaryomycetaceae.
CUUUCGGUGGGGGGACUUGGGGAAGGUCCAUUA